RNAcentral lists this ribosomal RNA (1450 nucleotides) under metagenome. RNAcentral's name for it is "bacterial SSU rRNA". It matches the Rfam family "Bacterial small subunit ribosomal RNA". The record is from RNAcentral.
CUGGCGGCAUGGAUUAGGCAUGCAAGUCGAACGAUCCAGCACUUCGCAAGAGGUGCUGGGGAGUGGCGCAAGGGUGAGGAACACGUGAGUAAGCUGCCCUUUAGUUGGGAAUAACUCUACGAAAGUGGAGCUAAUACCGAAUGUGACCGGCCCCUCGCAUGAGGGGGUGGUUAAAGAUUUAUUGCUAAAGGAUGUGCUCGCGUCCCAUCAGCUAGUUGGUGAGGUAACGGCUCACCAAGGCAAUGACGGGUAGGUGGUCUGAGAGGAUGGUCACCCACACUGGGACUGAGAACUGCCCAGACUCCUACGGGAGGCUGCAGUCGAGAAUCUUCCGCAAUGGGCGAAAGCCUGACGGAGCAAUGCCGCGUGCAGGAUGAAGGCCUUCGGGUCGUAAACUGCUGUCACCGGGGAUGAAUAAUGACAGUACCCGGGGAGGAAGUCACGGUUAACUACGUGCCAGCAGCCGCGGUAAUACGUAGGUGACGAGCGUUGUUCGGAAUUAUUGGGCGUAAAGGGUUCGUAGGAGGUUAAUUAAGAUUGGUGUGAAAUCCCAAGGCUCAACCUUGGAACUGCAUUGAUUACUGAUGAACUAGAGUAUCGUAGAGGAAAGUGGAAUUCCAGGUGUAGCGGUGGAAUGCGUAGAUAUCUGGAAGAACACCGACAGCGAAGGCAACUUUCUGGGCGAUAACUGACUCUGAGGAACGAAAGCAUGGGGAGCAAACAGGAUUAGAUACCCUGGUAGUCCAUGCUGUAAACGUUGUGUGCUUGGUCUGAGCGGAUUCAACCCCGUUCGGAUCGGAGUUAACAUGUUAAGCACACCGCCUGGGGACUACGGUCGCUAGACUAAAACUCAAAGGAAUUGACGGGGGCCCGCACAAGCGGUGGAGUAUGUGGCUUAAUUCGAGGCAACGCGAAGAACCUUACCUGGGUUUGACAUAUACAUGACGUGCUGUGAAAGCAGUAUUCCCGCAAGGGCAUGUAAACAGGUGCUGCAUGGCUGUCGUCAGCUCGUGUCGUGAGAUGUUCGGUUAAGUCCGGCAACGAGCGCAACCCAUAUUAUUAGUUGCUACCAGGUGAAGCUGGGCACUCUAAUGAGACUGCCUGUGUUAAGCAGGAGGAAGGUGUGGAUGACGUCAAGUCCGUAUGGCCUUUAUAUCCAGGGCUGCACACGUACUACAAUGGUCGGUACAAUGGGAAGCAAUGUCGCGAGAUGGAGCAAAUCCGAUAAAACCGGCCCCAGUUCAGAUUGCAGUCUGCAACUCGACUGCAUGAAGAUGGAAUCGCUAGUAAAGGCGUAUCAGCAACGGCGCCUUGAAUAUGUUCCCGGGCCUUGUACACACCGCCCGUCACAUCAUGGGAGCUGAUUGCACCCGAAGUCACUGAAUCAACUGUUAAAGGAGAAAGGUGCCUAAGGUGUGGUUAGUGACUGGGAUGAAGUCGAAACAAGGUA